CCCCGCGCCAAGAGCGGAGGGGCGCGGACGACGUCAGGAGGCGGGAAGGGGCGGGGUGAGCCCUAAGCCCCGCCCACCCCAUCGUUUAGCCCCCUCGAGCUCCAAAGAAAGGAGCAGGUAAGGGGACGCCGUCCAAAAACGGUGGCUGUUAGGCUAAUGGAAGGCGGCUCUUCUGCUGGGAUGAAGUGGGACUGCAAAUCCCACUCCAUCUUCUUUGGACUGUGACAACAUCAUAGUCCAAACUCCCAUUUUAAGAACAGGGAAACUGAGGCUCAGUGACUAGACAAACGUUGCCCAGAGUCAUGGUCAUGGAGGAAGCUUGUGCUAAAUGGUGGAGAGGAGACCAGAGCCCAGCUCCCAAUGCAAGGUUCGUUCACUCCUUUGGCCACCUCCGUCCCCGCCAAAAUAAACAAACAAAAAACUGUCGUUCGGGUCUGACCACUGGCUCUACGCGCCAGCCCCGAGCGGAGGAGGGGAGGAGCGCACCCGAGAAAGCUCCGACGCACCCGCUGCUCGCCUCCGGCGGGAAGGCGCCUCUUCCGACUGUCCUAGGCGAAUUAAAUACUUCCCUUCGCAGAAGACUUAUCUCGGGGUAGGGCCGCAGCCUGAUUUCCAAAUCGCGGGUUUGGUUUUCGCGGCGUCCCCUCCCCGACGCGCGCAGGGAGCGCGCCCGGCCACCUGCAGCCUUGGGCCGCGGCCAUCUUUCCGCCUGGGGCCACCUGGCCCGCGUCCUUGGCGCCCGGCCCGCUUCGUGACUGUUCUCCUUGCCGCUACUUACAGAACAUAGCCGCCUUAGCGUCUUAAAGAAGGGGACAGCAUGCACGCGGACCCUGUCCACCACACCUGGGGACACCUCGCCAGGAGCAGGGAGCAUUUAGCCCGUGGACACUUAUCAGGGCCGCCAUCCCUGGUCCACGCAUACGAUGACAUCUCACCUGAGGCAGCACAUCAACCCGAGUCCGCGACACUGAUAACACCUCCUGGGGCCAAGGAGCGCACCACAGCCACCCUUGGUCCCCUACAUUGUGUGGGGCUGGCAGUUUUUUGGCAUUUCUGACCGCCUCUUGGCACUGGACCACCGCCUCCAGUGCGCUGGACCUCGAGUUGGAGCCACAGCUUUCUCUUCCCAAUCCGUGGCCUCGCAGUUUUGUUUCAAACCUCACUGUUUCAAACCUCACUGUUUCAAACCUCGUGGUGUUGAAAUGAUUAAAUGAGUUAUGGGGUGUGGUAGUGUUGGGCAAACCGCAAAAAAGCGGUCUGGGUAAGGUUGGGCCCUAAAAUCCUCCUCCUCCAUCUCCCUGGCUUCUUUGCCUGGCUGUUUCCUCUCGGUCUUUAAACAGGCUGGCCUCUCCAAGUCCAAAAAACGAAACGAUCAAGACAGCCUCCUCCUGAAGUGCCCUCUCCAACUCGCUUUCAAGUGCUUGUCUCUCAGUGAGACCUCAAACAGUGGUGUUCCCUGGCUGCCUGGGCUUCCUCAUUUCUCAACACUUGGCAGUCUGGCUUCUCCUUCCCCACUAUAACCCUUCUUCACCCUGCUCAGGCAAGAGUAACUCAUGACUUUGAUUUUGCCAAACCUUGCAGGCAUUCCUCAGGCCUUACCUCUCUGGUUCUCUCUGCUAAUUUGACAGCUUGGAUAGCUUUCACCUACUGGAAUCUACUACCUUGGUUUCAGAAGAGUGAACCCUCUCAAUUACCAUGACAAGAACUAAAGGUCUUUUAGUGAAGGUGCCACCCUGAAGUUUCUGGUACACCAGCGCCAACCUGGAGACCACCCUACCAUUUGCUGCUAGCCACCAAGACUGCCAUUCGUAUAGCAGAAGAGAGAUGAAUACAUCACACCCGAGCCAAGAAAGCGCCAUCAUCGUUAAAAUCAUGGGCUAUUGUUCCGGGAUCAGACCUUACCAAGUUAAAGCUAAGAAAAGCUUAGUCUAUAUUUUCUUUUUUUCUUUUCUUCCCUUUAACUGCUCCCCAUCUUGUUAUUAAUGUAAUUAGAUCUGGCUCACCUCAAGUUGUUGCUUUAAUGUCUGUUUAGUUAUGCCUCGUGGAGAUUUGCAUAACCAGGGACAGCUUGCUGCUUCCAGAAGAAUGUCUCUGUCCCUCUUAGACUUCCUCAAAUUAGGAAAACAUCAUGAGUUUUUCUAAGGAUACUAGUAAUCCAAGGAAUAGUAGCUGUAUUCGUAAUUGGUAGGAAUCAGACUCUUGUCCCUCAAACACAGAAUGUUUUUUCUAUGUUCUGCUUAGUCUAAUGCCAUAUGGAACACUAAAGGUUUAAGAUAGACUGCUUCCUUGGGUCUUUGUCAGUCCUUAAAACUAUAUAUCCAUUUCACCAAAGGAAUUACUUCUUCUAGCUGUCAAUAUAACCAAUGUAAUCCUAUACAGCUUACUAUUGUUAUUGCAACAGCAAAAACUCUUCCCCUUCAUUAAGUUGUAUUGAUGGUAUAGGAACCGACAUUUCAGGAAAGCCUCCUGAAGAAAUUUUCAAAACGUACAUUAUUGCUCCUUAAACCUCUUUAUCAAUCACUCCCCCAGGCAUGGUGACAAAACCAGUCUCAAUGGUAGAAGUAGAGGACCUAAGGCAAACUGUAGCCAUUAAAACAGGAUACAAGGAUGCAAAUGCCUGGUUAGAAUGGAUUCAAUUUUCCGUUCACACUUUAAAUACAUGCAACUAUUAGGCUUGUGUGCGCAGUAGGCCAGAGGCCCAGGUUGUCCCCUUUCCACUUGGAUGGUCCCGAAAUCCAGCGGACAUGGAAGGCACAGUAGCUCUUUCUCAGGAUUCCAAUGCCUGAAAUAACAAAUUGUACCGAGUUCUUUAGCCUCUAUGGCCCUGAGCACCAUACAGCCUCCAUCUACCUAGGCGAAGGUCGCCUCAGGUGAAGUUCACCUGGUGUCUCUCACGACAGGGGGAGAACUUAGUGUUCCUUGGAAACUUAACAGGAUGCAGUAAGUCAGACGCUUCUGAGAGCUGGCUCAUCAGUCCACCCUUACUCAUCCCAGAGCAGGUGUAUGGUGGGAUUGUGGAGGACCUUUCCUGGACACCUGCCAAGUCAUUAGAGUGGCACUUGUCCUCUAGUCCAGUUAGCUAUCCCUUCACCCUGGCAAUUCAUCAACCAGAGAAAGAGAAAUCAUGACAUUGGCAAAUAAGAGAAGCUCCUUAUGGGCCUUUUGAUUCUCAUGACUAUAUAGAUGCAAUUGGAGUUUCUUAAAGAGUACCAAAUAAAUUUAAAGCCCAAAAUCAGAUAGCUGCCAGAUUUAGGUCAGUGUUGUUCUGGUAUGUAAAACAAUUAAUUUUUAAAAACUGUAAAUUAGAUAAACUACAUUUAUUACAACCCACAGCAGUUUGGUAACUAUACUAAAGACGCUGUCAAAGGAAUAGCUGAACAAUUAGGAUUCACUAGCCGAAUGGCCUAAGAAAACAAAAUAGCCCUUAACGUGAUAUUAGUGGAGAAAUGUGCUGUUGUGUUAUAAUUAAGACCCAGUGUUGGACCUUUAUUCAAACAACACUGCUCCCCGACGAGAGCAUAACAAAAGCCCUCCAAGGACCUACUGCUUUAUCAAACAAGCUGGCUAAGAUUCUGGCCUCAAUAACCCUAUUUCUUUUUCUCUCUCUUUUUUUUUUAAAGAGACAGGGUUUCACCAUGUUGGCCAGGCAGAUCUUGAACUCCUAACCUCAAGUGAUCCACCCGCCUCGGCCUCCCAAAGUGCUGGGAUUACAGCAUCGUGAUAAUUAUACUUCUCGUUAGACGUUGUGUCAUACCAUGCAUCGGAGGACUUGUGCGGAGGCUAGUAGACACAACUCUUACUAAAAUAUCCCCAACCCGUCCUCCACCCUAUUCAGAUAGAUUACUUCUUUUAGAAGAACAAACAGAACAACUAAGCCAAGACAUGUUAAGGAAUUUUGAAGAGAAAGAUAAAAAGUGUGAAAAUUCAAGAUGGGGGAUUGUUACAGUGAAUACCAAGUUUCUCUUCAAAGAAUCAGUAUGUUCAGCUCUCUUUUUCUUUAAUUUUCUGUUUUAAAGUUUAACUUCCUUGUUCUAAUCAGUAGUUCACAUAUGUUCCCCCUUUCCCCGGCUCCAUCCUGACUCAUCCUGGUCAUCUGAUCACCCCUGGCUACCUGCUCUGACAGGCCCAUAACCGUCCUUCCUGCCAAAACACCCACCUUGCCACUCCAGCUUGGACCUCUGCUCUUUUUAAAAUAGCCAAUCUGGAUUAGCCUAGCUUGUGCAGUCUAACCCUAGCCAAUCAGGGAUGACACAGCAGUAGGGACGACCCCUUCCCCCCUUGUCCAAGUGUGUGGCGGCCGUCAUUGCUCCAUUCAUGCUCCACACCCUUCUAUAGAAGUAAACUGCCUUUCUGGGAGGGUUUAUCUUUGAGUGCUAUUUUUUUUUUCUGCAGCAUCAAAAUUUUACUUAUAACAAUUGCAACAAAAAUUUUUCCAAUAUACUUAGUGAAAAAAAUUGCAUAUAAGUGGACUCAUGCAGUUCAACCCCGUGUUGUUCAAGAGUCAACUAUAAUACAAAUACAAACAACAUAGUUUAACAACUGUGUGCAGAGCAUUUACAUUGCAUUAGGUAUAACAAUCUAGAGGUUGAAGUAUACAAGAGGAUGCACAUAGAUUAUAUGCAAAUACUGUACCCUUUUACAUAAGGGACUUGAGCAUUUAGGAAUUUUUAUAUACAAGUGAGCCCUGGAACCAGUUCCUUGCAGAUACUGAGGAAUGACUAUAGUAAUAGGUAGUCAAUGAACAUUACUGUUUAGACAUAACCUCCAUGAAGGCAGGAACUUUCUCUAUUUUGCUGAAUCCUGUAGCCCAGCCAGCAGGCAGUAGCCACUCAAAACAUGUUAAAUAAAUUAAUCUACCACCCUAAUAAGUGUAGAAGAAGGAGGUAUAGAAUUCUUUUUUGUUUUUUUG
This is a non-coding RNA of Callithrix jacchus (white-tufted-ear marmoset), 4909 nucleotides long. The record is from RefSeq and is a predicted model, not a curated record. Lineage: Eukaryota; Metazoa; Chordata; Mammalia; Primates; Cebidae.